Long non-coding RNA from Suricata suricatta (meerkat), 771 nucleotides. RefSeq lists it as uncharacterized. The record is from RefSeq and is a predicted model, not a curated record. The transcript is spliced from 3 exons. Lineage: Eukaryota; Metazoa; Chordata; Mammalia; Carnivora; Herpestidae.
CGGCUCCCGCCCCUCCCCCUGCGGGCUCUCACCCGGCCCCUGGGUCCUACUGCCCCGCAUCGGGAUGGGCACUGGGAACCCCCACCAGAGAGGCCGGGGACCGAAUCGCACGACUAGCAUUGCUCGCGGAGACUCCGAAUUUUUGAGGUGCUAAAGACAGAGCUGAGAACAGAACAAAGUCCCUGCUAUCAAGAUGUACAUUAUGAGGAGGAAACAUGCAGGUGCAUCCUUGGAUCCUGGAGAACGAAUGAAUCCCAGCACCCAGUGGAUGAAUCAUCUGAGGCCCUGGCAGCAGGGGUCGGGGGAGAGACCUUUCUGGCCACCCCAGUGUGGCGAUGGUGACUAACUUGGAAGUCUGGGUUAGGUGCUGCUGCUCGAAGUCUGAUUAGGACUGUGAGAAAUCUUACAUUCGAAGAGUUUCAGACUCUUUGACUCAGGGUCAAAGAAUUAGGGAGGACUUGAAUCCUGAAGUGACCAUGAUAGAAGGUGAUAUCUUCCUUGAGCCCUCAUGGGAUCUUUGAAUCCAUCUAAGGAAUCUUCGAGUGUUAAAUCUCAUAGUCAGAGACUCUUAGAAGAAAAGAAGCCUCGGCUGCGGGCUGCAAGGCAUCUCAGAGGUCAUGGAGUCCUGCGUGCAGCCCCAGGCUGAAGCCUCUCUACAGUAUCCCAAAGGCAAGCACUCAGCACCUCCAAGAACAGGGAGUUCGAGUCCCACAGAGCCAGUUCAGUAUUCUUUCUUAGGAUAGGUCUGAUCAUUAACACAUUGUCUCUCUA